This 1421-nucleotide long non-coding RNA is filed under the name Ursus americanus (American black bear). Its description in RNAcentral is "lncRNA (ENSUAMG00000009395.1)". The record is from RNAcentral. Lineage: Eukaryota; Metazoa; Chordata; Mammalia; Carnivora; Ursidae.
AUGUUCCACAAGGGCAAGACUCCACCUCUUUGGUUCACAGCUAUAUACCAAGCGCCUAAAACAGUGUCUGGGACGUGGUGGGAGCUCAAUAAACAUUUGUUGAAUGAAUGGCGAUACGCCAAGCCUCCUUUCCUCAUCUGUGAAUACUCUAUCUGGAACGGCUGCUGCAUAAGGAAAUCACCUAGCCCUGAACUUGACGCACAGGAGGCGAUCAACAAGUUGUAUUUUUCCUUCCCCUCAACAGCAGACGGGGUCCCCAGGCUACUGCAACAUAAGGGUCUGGGUCCCUGCGCCCACGCAGCCCCCGCUGGGUGGUGGGGAGCACGUGGGCCGGGAGGGCGGGGUGGGAGCGGAGCAGCGCGAGGGGAGGGGGCGCCGGCCGGCGACUCGCGCGGAGCCGGUCUCCCCGGCUUACGUAAGGCGCGAGUCCCGCGCGGCCGGCUGGGGCUCGGAGUGGGGGCGGGCGGAGGCGGCGCCGCCCAGCGGGAUCCGGGCUGGAAGCCUCGCGGAGCGCCGCGUCCCAGCCGAGGGGCGCCCGGAGAGUCCCCGCGCGAGCGGAGAGUGUCAGAGGCUGAAGCAGCAGCAACAAAGUUCCCGGGGCUUCUCCGAGGCUGCUGUCCGGGUUGCCUGUUUGGCCGCCCCCUCCCUGCCUGGCGAAGGCAAUGGCUUCCAAACUCCUGCGCGCGGUCAUCCUUGGGCCGCCGGGCUCGGGCAAGGGCACCGUGUGCCAGAGGAUCGCUCAGAGCUUUGGCCUCCAGCAUCUCUCCAGCGGCCACUUCUUGCGGGAGAACAUCAAAGCCAACACCGGGUGAAAACUUCUGAAUGUUGGAGGAUAGAACGGUUGUAUUCAGGAGACUUGACGGAGUUGAACAAGGUAUCUAAAACAACUUUAAAUAGUUAACCUUUGCGUAGAUCAUAGAGUGUCUUGGCUUAUUAUAAGAUUUCUAGAAUAUUCUGUGUUCCAUUUUUUCCCCCCUAGCUUGGUAUAGCCCAGGUCAAGGCAUUGAGGGAGCAGAAGACUAGCUGAAGACAAAGCAUAAGCUGACACCCUGCAACCUCCUCCCCCCACUCCUGGGUGGGACAUGUGUGAUAUUCUUUCAGGAAGCUCCCAGCUGUCAUAAUGUUAAUACCUUGCUAGAGGGGAAAACAACCUUAACUUGACAGUGGCAAGGCUUGUGGUAUCUUGUAGGUGGGUCCUCUUUAGCAUGCGAGAGUUCUUUUGNCUAACUUGACAAUGGCAAGGCCUGUGGUAUCUUGUAGGUGGGUCCUCUUUAGCAUGCGAGAGUUCUUUUGAAACCUCCCAUUUCCUUACUCCCCCGACUCCCAGUAUAUAAUCACCACUCUUCAAAAUCCUGGUGCAGGCGCACUUUCUGCCUGUACGUGCUGUCCCUGUGCUUUAAUAAAACCACCAUUUUGCACCA